CCUACGGGAGGCAGCAGUGAGGAAUAUUGGUCAAUGGACGAGAGUCUGAACCAGCCAAGUAGCGUGAAGGAUGACUGCCCUAUGGGUUGUAAACUUCUUUUAUAUGGGAAUAAAAUGUUCCACGUGUGGGAUUUUGUAUGUACCAUAUGAAUAAGGAUCGGCUAACUCCGUGCCAGCAGCCGCGGUAAUACGGAGGAUCCGAGCGUUAUCCGGAUUUAUUGGGUUUAAAGGGAGCGUAGAUGGAUUGUUAAGUCAGUUGUGAAAGUUUGCGGCUCAACCGUAAAAUUGCAGUUGAAACUGGCAGUCUUGAGUACAGUAGAGGUGGGCGGAAUUCGUGGUGUAGCGGUGAAAUGCUUAGAUAUCACGAAGAACUCCGAUUGCGAAGGCAGUUCACUGGACUGCAACUGACACUGAGGCUCGAAAGUGUGGGUAUCAAACAGGAUUAGAUACCCGAGUAGUC
RNAcentral lists this ribosomal RNA (460 nucleotides) under uncultured bacterium. RNAcentral describes it as "partial 16S ribosomal RNA". It matches the Rfam family "Bacterial small subunit ribosomal RNA", at positions 338 to 795 of the family's 1533-position model. The record is from RNAcentral.